GACGAACGCUGGCGGCGUGCCUAAUACAUGCCAGUAGAACGCUGAAGAGAGGAGCUUGCUCUUCUUGGAUGAGUUGCGAACGGGUGAGUAACGCGUAGGUAACCUGCCUUGUAGCGGGGGAUAACUAUUGGAAACGAUAGCUAAUACCGCAUAACAAUAGGUGACACAUGUCAUUUAUUUGAAAGGGGCAAUUGCUCCACUACAAGAUGGACCUGCGUUGUAUUAGCUAGUAGGUGAGGUAACGGCUCACCUAGGCGACGAUACAUAGCCGACCUGAGAGGGUGAUCGGCCACACUGGGACUGAGACACGGCCCAGACUCCUACGGGAGGCAGCAGUAGGGAAUCUUCGGCAAUGGGGGCAACCCUGACCGAGCAACGCCGCGUGAGUGAAGAAGGUUUUCGGAUCGUAAAGCUCUGCUGUAAGUCAAGAACGAGUGUGAGAGUGGAAAGUUCACACUGUGACGGUAGCUUACCAGAAAGGGACGGCUAACUACGUG
Molecule: ribosomal RNA, 497 nt
Filed under: uncultured bacterium
Lineage: Bacteria
Description: partial 16S ribosomal RNA
Rfam family: Bacterial small subunit ribosomal RNA
Source: RNAcentral